GUGGUGGAUUUAAAGGGAAUUCUGCUGCUCAAAGUAUAAAUAUUUGGUAUUAAAAGCAAAUAUUAGCAGUUCCAAAAACUUAAAAUAAGCCAGUGGAUUACUUGGAUAACGGUGUCUACCUAACCGAAAUUAAAGUUCGCCAACUGUUGAACAUUAAAGGACCUCGUUUCGCAGAACCGACAUAUUGAACACAUUCCACAACAAUUUGCAUUUCUUUAUGGUACUCACAAGUAUUUUUCAACCGAACUCCCCCACUCUCGUUACGCAACGCAAACUGCUCCAACUAGUGCUCGACUGCCUGCUUUAUGUCUUUCCAUUAUUGAUGACUUAAUUCCGGUUGAUUUAUUGAGGCCACAAACAGCCGGUCAGCGGGCUCAGAGAGCCCAGCGAGCCGUGUUUUGCAAUGGCCGGAACCAGGAGUCAGGACCUGGACCUGGCCAGGAUGCCAUUUGGUAUGCACACGUACUGGCGCAAAUGGAACCACUCGGUGGAGGGGCACAGCUAGCAGACCAAGCAGCUGUGCUGGUCCAGAACGUGUUUAAUAAAUAAGCCCAGUUAAUAUGGCGCAAAAAGUUGGGGGGCCAAAGCAAUAGAUAUUUUAAAAUAUUUUCUUCUGUGCACACGGCAAAGGUACUUGGCAUUGUCUGAGAAGUAUUUAUUUUCGAGUUACCUAUCUCGGUGCAUCGACCUCGUUGAAUUGGCAACAGUUAAUGAUGUUAACAGGAGCUCUGAAUGGCCGGCGGCAACAUGCAUUCAGCCGUUCCUCCAUUGAUCACUUCGAAAGGAUGAAAAACGAGCUUUUUCAGAUGGAGAUACUGCCGCAAAAGUUCCAUUGGCAGCAGGAGGUGUAAUCGAAACGAACGCAAACUCGAUUGGUGCACGGUAAUUAAAAUUUAAUCAUUGGACAUUAGUAUUCCCAUACACACUGAGGUUGCCGUGGGCGACUGGGCCAGUGGGCGUGGCAGUGGGUGUGGUCGAUAAUGCCGCGUUGGGGGCUUAGCCAAAUGGACGGGUUCGAAGGGCCGGGGGCCAGUCAAAUGAGCUCGCUUUUGAGGGGCUUUCGCCUGGUAUCUCUGCAUUCACUCCGAGCUGCAUACUUUCAGGCAUGUAAAUGCACAAUCCCCACCUGCGAUUCUGCGAGUGUGGAUAAAUGUUUGAUUUGGGGGUUUGGGUAACUCGUUUGUCCGUCUGUUUGUUUGUUUGUUAGGUUGCCAAGGUAUUUAAGUCGCCGCCGCUUUUAGCUGCGUUUCGCUUCGGGCUUUUAAUAGAUUCCUGCUAAUGACAUGCAAUUAAUUUUGUGGUUUUUCAAACAGAAUCAUAAACUGUGGAAAAAAGAUAUUGGCCAAGUGUGAGUCCUUGUGGGAGUAGCUACAUUAAAACGCAGGGAUCUUUAGGGAGCUUUGUUUUUGAAUAUACAAAGCAUAUAAGCCACUCUAACCAAAAAACAAUAUUUAUUUACAAAUGAAAAAAAUACUUUGUUGUUAGCCUAGUUUCUGAAUAUUACACUUAAUUUUUAAAAUUGCCUUACACAUUAAAUUUAAUUCUGAUAAUAUUCUAAAACGUUUUUAAUUAUAUCAAGUUUUAUUGACCAUCAUAUGCUCAAUAUUAAGGAUUUUAAAGUGUGGCUUGGAUUGGACAAGUUGCCAUCCAAAAAUGAUUUUUCAAGCACAGCAAUAUCUAUCAAGAAAAUGCAUUUUCUGCGGAUUACAAGCCAUCGGAAGGAGGGGCCGUCGACCCUUUGGCACAUCUGCUAUUCAUUUCGAACUUUUAUCUAACAACAAAGCUCACACAUGGAAUACACAAUGUUUUGAGCACUCGGACAAAAGGACAACCCCAAUUGCGAGUGGCCAAAAGGGCAAAGAGCCAGGGGACUCGGCCAGCAAAUGGCCAGCGAUGGCAAUUAACUUUAUAACAUUUGCAUGGCCCAUGUGCAGUUUCCUGGCCUUGUUGUUGCGGGUAAUGCACGCCAGUUGAUUAAUUGGAAAUUGCGGUUAAUGGAUGGUCAGAUCGGAAUCGAAAUCGACAAUGGAGAUGAAAAAGUCGCCCUGGAGUCUAGACUUUUAAUUAGACCAGCAACUGAGCCUAGAAGUGUGCUCUACUCGGAGCAUAUGCAAAAAGUUUGCUGCCAAAACUUUGCCACUUGCCAGUGAAUUUUUUCCUUCAGACCCAAAAAGUUGACAGAUUUGCAGCGGAAAAUUAACAAGUUCCGUGCGGAAAACAUAUUUCUUUUUUUUGAAUAAACUUCACCCUCACAAAAUCGAGUUAAGAAGUCAGAGAAAGUAUAAAAUGCUAAAAAUGUGCUAAAAACUAUGUUCACGGAAGAGUUUCAUGGGUGUGUUUUCCUCUUUUUUUUGAAGCAGCUGUUUUCCGACCAAGUCUACCAAAACUUAAAAAGUCGUAGAAGUCGCCGGCAGUUUUGUGUUGCCGCAUUUUUAUGCCCUUCUGGCAAACCCGAAUUUCCGGCUCUGAUCGCUCAACAGCCUAGAAACAGAGUUUGUUGGAAAUUAAGUUUACUCGAUGAGUACUUCCAGUUGUUUGCACUGCAGACGCAUAUUUUCCUCGAUGUUGUGGUCUCUUGCAGGAAGUCAAGAAUAGCAUUUUUAUAUUUCGUAGCAUGUGUUUCUUUGUAAAUAAAAUAUAAUUGGUUUCAUGUUUCUUUCAUGAAAAAAAUAAUCUAAAAACUAUUUUACCAUUUCUACCAAUUUAUUUUAUUUGGUUAUAACACCCCUAUUACUAGUAAUGUGAUUGAAAUGUAUUUUUAAAAUUGUCUAUUCUCAGAGUUUUAAAUUCUGUUUGCCUUUUUCUUCUAUUUAUAAAAAUACAUCUGAUUAAUGUGAUAAAUUUAAAGUACCUAUUAAAAUAGAAAAUAACUAAAAAAUAUUUAUUUAUUCUCCGAAUUUCUGGCAAUCUGCACCUACUGCAGUUCCUAAUCUGCCCAUCUAAAUUCUCGUCGUGUUCAGGACACACGCUCAGCUGGUGAUUCCCUUCGACCCAAUUA
This is a non-coding RNA of Drosophila suzukii, 2998 nucleotides long. Lineage: Eukaryota; Metazoa; Arthropoda; Insecta; Diptera; Drosophilidae. The record is from RefSeq and is a predicted model, not a curated record.